Oncorhynchus masou masou (cherry salmon) is the source of this 618-nucleotide long non-coding RNA. RefSeq lists it as uncharacterized. The transcript is spliced from 3 exons. NCBI's taxonomy places the organism in Eukaryota, Metazoa, Chordata, Actinopteri, Salmoniformes, Salmonidae. The record is from RefSeq and is a predicted model, not a curated record.
CAGUCAAUGAUUUACACUCGGGAGUGGAGACAGACCGCCAAAGCUUUGCUGGGCUGAGCCCAUCAUAACUGUACGCUGGACUGAAAAGAAGACUAUAAUACGAUAGUCUUCCUAUAUAAAAGAGGGGAACUUCAAAGUGAACCACAACAGCAGUAGCAAGAAAUGUGUGAGCAGCAGCUACAGCUUAAAAGUGGAUCCACAGAAACAUCCCAUGACUUCAUGGAAUGUUGACACGGCGCUGUCGCAAGGGGAACGUGGGCAGACGUUUUGUGGCAGCACGCAUAGGCAGACCAUGACUGUUACGUCUUGGAACACACCUCUGGAGUACCUCUCUCACAGGUAAAUACAGGACAUCUCCAGGCUGUGUAAGAGCUAUUUGACCAAGGAGGAGAGUGAUGGAGGGCUGCAUCAGAUGACCUGAUCACAACAUAUGCCUAGUUUCCUGAAAUUAGUCACAUAUGAAUUGUGUGUAAAUAUUAUUUUUGUUGUCUCUUGGUGUCUUUCCUUUGAAUUUAAUGUAUAUCAUAUGUUGUUCUUGUCUAUUACUGUUCUGUACAUUUUAUGUGGACCCCAGGAAAAGUAGCUGCUGCAUGUGCAGUAAGUAAUGGGGAUCCUCAA